AUUUGAUAUUGAAGAUGAAACUAAAGUUAUAAGUAUUUUUAAACAAUUUUGAAAAUUUUGGAGAACAAUCAUCAGUAGGAAAUAAUUACGUGAUUAAGGAGUUCAUUUUCCCUAUUUAGAAAAGGGGGAAGACUGAAGAAUGCAAAAUAUUAUGUUCACAUAUACGACUUCUAUAUAAAGGAAUCUUAAAUGUCUUUUGCUAAUAACCUGUGAAGAAGCAGUGUUGUCAUUAAUGUUGAACUUACAAUAGUUAUCUGAGCAUUUUGGUAAACAGACAAGGCACUUGGAAUUUUGUCUCUCAACAUCUGUACUCUGCUUUUAACUUCAAAAGGUAGUUUUGAAGUACAUGUAAUUUUUGCCAUCUGCCACUGAAUUUGUGAUUUAGAAAUAUUAGAAGCAGGGCCACAUUAUGACUUUCUUGGGCUGCAGGCUCUUUUGCCUUUGUGGCAAAACUUCUCAUGACUUUAUUGUGUUACACAAAUGCUAAGUGUUCAUUAUAAGGAAUCCAAGGGAUGUAGAAAAGUAAAAAGAAACAAAUCAUAAAUUCUAUCAUUUAAAAAUAAGCCUCAUUAAUAUUAAAGAAACGUUGUGUUAGAUACCACCCUAAGCAUGUUUGCAGAUGGGAAGAUAGAUGGAUGGAGAGAUAGAUAUGCUUUCAAAGAAGAGUGAUCAUAUGAUACAGGCUAAGUUUUUAUUUAUAUUUAUUUUUUUGAGGUAGGGUCUCCCUGUGUCACUCAGGCUGGAGUGCAGUGGCACUCUCACAGCUCACUGCAGCCUCCACCUCUCAGGCCCAAGCAAUCCUUCCACCCUGGCCUCCCAAGUAGCUGAGACCACAGGCAUGCACUACCAUGCCUGGCUAAUUUUUUAUUUUUAUUUUUGUACAGAUUGAGGGGUGUCCCUAUGUUGCCCAGGCUAGUCUUGAACUCCUGAACUCAAGCGACCCUCCCCCCUUGGCCUUCCAAAGUGUAUAGGCAUGAGCCACUGCCUCAGCUAUACACACUAAUUUUUAAAUGUAAAAACCAUUACACUUAAUUUUACCUGAUUUUAACUGGAGAAAACUAAGUGAGAAUUAAGGAAUUACUGAACUUUGAACAAACAUUUUUUCACAUAAAAAUGUUAUUUUUUCCCCCUCUAUGGUUAAGUAAAGAGAUAAGAACUUGCUGGUUUUCAUUUUGUGUUUUUUUUUCCAAUUAUGUUUUUGUGGUAGGCACUGUUGCUGUUCACCCAGUUUUCUUCCUCUUCUGGGAUAUAGGAGAAUCAUAUUUGCUCAGUCUCUUCAAGUUAGAUGUGACCUUGUGGCUUGCUUUAGUCACACAACAUGAGCAGAAACGACCAUUAUGGAUGAAUGCAUUUAAUUACCGGGUCUCCAGUCUCACCCUUUCUUCUAUCACCUUGGUGAGCCUGGGUGCUCAUGUUAAUGUGGUGGGCGCAUAAGAUCAACACAGCACAGAGUGCAGAGCCGGCACGUGAAAGGCACAGCCCUUACCCCCAUGGGCCUGCAGUGCAGGGAGUAUGAGCAUGAAAUGAACUCUUGAUCGGUUAGGUCACUGAGACUUGGGACUUGUUUUUAACCAUAGAUUACUUAGGUUAUCCUGAUGCUAUCAUUUUCAUACUAGACAGUAUGGACUUCCUUUCUGCCAUGAUAAAUAAGGUCAUUAAGAACUUUCACUCUUUUUCCUUCCUUCCUUCCCUUUAGAUUUUAGUUAGUUACAUUGCUGUUUUCACAUAGUCAAGUAUAUAAUAUUUACAUUCUAUUCUAUAAUCUAGCUUUGAUUUUGAUUAGUUAUGUUAUUUUCAUAUAGUUGAAGUAUAUAAUGUUAUGUUCAGUUGUUUAAAAUUAGUUUGGUUUUUUUCUUUUUUGAGACGGAGUUUCGCUUUUGUUACCCAGGCUGGACUGCAGUGGCACAAUCUUAGCUCACCACAACCUCUACCUCCCAGGUUCAAGUGAUUCUCCUGCUUCAGCCUCCCAAGUAGCUGGGACUACAGGCCUGCGCCACCACAUCCGGCUAAUUUUGUAUUUUCAGUAGAGACGGGGUUUCUCCAUGUUGGUCAGGCUAGUCUCAAGCUGCCCACCUCAGGUGAUCCACCUGCCUCGGCCUCCCAAAGUGCUGGGAUUAC
RNAcentral lists this long non-coding RNA (2118 nucleotides) under Homo sapiens (human). Its description in RNAcentral is "non-protein coding lnc-SOCS2-8:1". Lineage: Eukaryota; Metazoa; Chordata; Mammalia; Primates; Hominidae. The record is from RNAcentral.